Molecule: ribosomal RNA, 440 nt
Filed under: uncultured bacterium
Lineage: Bacteria
Description: partial 16S ribosomal RNA
Rfam family: Bacterial small subunit ribosomal RNA
Source: RNAcentral
CCUACGGGAGGCAGCAGUGGGGAAUAUUGCACAAUGGGGGGAACCCUGAUGCAGCAACGCCGCGUGGGUGAAGAAGUACUUCGGUAUGUAAAGCCCUGUCAGCAGGGAAGAAAAUGACGGUACCUGACCAAGAAGCCCCGGCUAACUACGUGCCAGCAGCCGCGGUAAUACGUAGGGGGCAAGCGUUAUCCGGAUUUACUGGGUGUAAAGGGAGCGCAGACGGCAAGGCAAGUCUGGAGUGAAAGCCCGUGGCUCAACCACGGGACUGCUUUGGAAACUGUGUUGCGGGAGUGCAGGAGGGGUAAGCGGAAUUCCUAGUGUAGCGGUGAAAUGCGUAGAUAUUAGGAAGAACACCGGUGGCGAAGGCGGCUUACUGGACUGUAACUGACGUUGAGGCUCGAAGGCGUGGGGAGCAAACAGGAUUAGAUACCCUAGUAGUC